Molecule: non-coding RNA, 30 nt
Filed under: Rattus norvegicus (Norway rat)
Lineage: Eukaryota; Metazoa; Chordata; Mammalia; Rodentia; Muridae
Source: RNAcentral
UGGUGAAUAGUGCAUCAUCAGUCUUUGCUU